GUGCUCGCUUCGGCAGCACAUAUACUAAAAUUGGAACAAAGAAGAUUAGCAUGGUCCCUAUGCAAAAAAAAAAAAGAAAGAAAAGACAAAAGGAACUAGUUA
This is a small nuclear RNA of Myodes glareolus (Bank vole), 102 nucleotides long. Lineage: Eukaryota; Metazoa; Chordata; Mammalia; Rodentia; Cricetidae. The record is from RefSeq and is a predicted model, not a curated record.